UUAUCUAGGAAUUUAAAAAUACUUAAUUAUUUAAAACAAUUAAUUAUCUGUGCACUGUUGACCCAGUUUUCGUUGUCUCUCACUGCAUCACUAUUGAAAGUCUGCCUCACUCGAAAACGUUUAUUCCUUCCUUAUUCUUCGCUCACUCCCUAAAAAAUUUUCUCCCUCACAGAGAAUAAGUUUCGUUCUCUCGGUCUCGCUCAUUCAAUCUCACUCACAAAGAAGGUUCUUCUCGCGUUCAUCCCCAUUGGCCCUCCAUUGAAACCCUAGUCUCCACCGCAAACACUUCCUCCGCAUUGACCCUUCCCUGGAACCCUGGUCUCCACCGCGCGCUCCUCCUCCGUAUUGGUCCUCCCUUGAAACUGUAGCCUCCACCGCGCCUUCCUCCUUCGCACUGGCAUUCCUCUAGAACCAUAGCCUCCAUCACGCGCGCCUCCUCCGCAUUGGCCCUCCUGUAGAACCCUAGCCUCCACCUCGUGCGCCUCCUUUCUUUGGCCCUCCCUUGGAAUCACCUCCACUUGCUGCAGCAGAGAGCGGCUCCGAUAUUGUGAUUAUGGCCUGCACCGAUGAUCGACAAUUCGUGUCCUUCGAGGAAGCGCUCAUCAGGUGCAGCGCAUUUGCUAAUGUUGGGGCCGAUUUUCUUUUCAUAGAAGCACUUGCUUCCAUUGAAGAAAUGGAGCUCUUUGUCAAGUUUCUUUCCAUGUUCCUAAACUGAAGGAGAAGAGUUGUUAGAAAAGGCCCUAGAAGAAGUGGAAGUGAAAGCUGAACCAUAGGACCGUUCGGUCAUUAGGAUUGGUCUUAUUUUGUAUAACCGAUCGGUAUUAUCGUAGUUUUGAUAACCGUUCGGUCUAGACUGUGUUUUUUAAAAUCUUCAAUUUUGUAAUAUUUUUGUAAGGCCGGUCGGUCAUAACUGUACUUCUUAUUCUCAUAACUGAACUGUAAUAUUGUUAUCUGUGAAUAUUCUAGAUAUGGUUUUAUGCUGUAUUUUUAGGAUGUUACAAGUAGCG
This 1007-nucleotide small RNA is filed under the name Vigna angularis var. angularis. RNAcentral describes it as "Non-protein coding transcript". The record is from RNAcentral. Lineage: Eukaryota; Viridiplantae; Streptophyta; Magnoliopsida; Fabales; Fabaceae.